This 519-nucleotide long non-coding RNA is filed under the name Homo sapiens (human). RNAcentral describes it as "HSALNT0367631". The record is from RNAcentral. Lineage: Eukaryota; Metazoa; Chordata; Mammalia; Primates; Hominidae.
AAGGUUAAACUCUGCGAGUUCAACGCACACAUCACAAAGUAGUUUCUGAGAAUGAUUCUGCCUAGUUUUUUUACGAAGAUAUUUCCUUUUCUACCCUUGGCCUCAAAGCACUUGAAAACUCCAACUGCAAAUCCUACAAAAAGAUUGUAACAUUGGCCUCAAAGGGCUUGAAAUCUCCACCUGCAAAUUCCACAAAAAGAGUGUUUCAAAUCUGCUCUGUCUAAAGGAACGUUCAACUCUGUGAGUGGAAUACACACAACACAAAGAAGUUACUGAGAAUUCUUCUGUCUAGCAUUAUAUGAAGAAAUCCCGUUUCCAACGAAGGCCUCCAAGAGGUCCAAAUAUCCUCUUGCAGACUUUACAAACAGAGUGUUUCCAAACUGCUCUAUGAAAAGAAAGGUUAAACUCUGUGAGUUGAACGCACACAUCACAAAGCAGUUUCUGAGAAUGAUUCUGUCUAGUUUUUAUACGAAGAUAUUUCCUUUUCUACCAUUGGCCUCAAAGCGCUUUAAAUCUCCA